Long non-coding RNA from Poecilia latipinna (sailfin molly), 975 nucleotides. RefSeq lists it as uncharacterized. The record is from RefSeq and is a predicted model, not a curated record. NCBI's taxonomy places the organism in Eukaryota, Metazoa, Chordata, Actinopteri, Cyprinodontiformes, Poeciliidae. The transcript has 2 exons.
UUUCUACAAACUGCUGAUGUUUUACUGAGAGUCACUCAGGUUCUCCUGUAGGAAUUAAAUUCAUGCUGCAGCUUUUUAAAUGUUUGCAUUCUUUAUUUUUCUACUUCAUCAAAACCAAAUGAACAACAAAGACUCAAAGGAACUGAGAAUAAAUGUUCUCUGAAUUCCUCCAGUUUUCCUGCUGCUUAGUGUGAAAAAAAAAAUCAUAUUUAUGUUUUAGGUCACUUAAAAGGAGAAGAAGUUCAUAACAGAAAUCGAACUGUGUUAGCUACAGCUGAAUCACCUGCUGGUGGAGCAGAGGUAUUACUCUGUUUCUAACCAUGCAGAUUUUCUCAAACCCAGAGGGGAAAAAAUCAAAUUCGUAUUUCUAAAACAUCUAGUUGGUGGCACAGGCCUUGGACAUGCCUUUGAGAGAAAACUUUCAGCUGCUUGGUCAGCCAAGCUGCGUCUCCAGAUGGUCAACCUGAUAAAACCCAGAUUCUGUCAGCUGUUGCCGGGCAGAAUUAGAAUCUGAUUUGGUUCACACAAACCUGGACCCAGACUGGUCUACUUUGAGACCAGCAGAUUCACUUACAAACAAGUUAAUGUGGAGCAAAUGUCUUAUUUUCACGCCUUCAAACUGGCUGAGAUCUUGGACUUACUGAACCAGAGAAGAUAGGUUGGUCAUCCACCCAGCCUGGAUUCUUCAGGUCCUCUGAACCGUCUCACUGGAUUCAGACACAGAUCCAGACUGUCUCUGGGAAGGACCGGGUGAAGGUACCUUUCCCACCUCUGGCUCACAUUCAGAGUCUGAUUGUAGACGUAGUCUUUUCUUCAGCUGUGGUCUUGGUAGGACUUGCCGUCAAAUCUUCAAUUUUUCCUACGGUAUUAAAACCAAAUCAACAAGCCACCUCUGUCCAAUCGGUAACCAGGUGUGACAAGCACAUUAUGAGUCAAUGAUCCUCCUUCAAACAAAGAACCAGGGUGUUCAGGAUG